UGCAACAACACCGACAUCGAUGGUGAAGCAUGAGCAUCUAGCCCGAGGGACCGCAUGAGGCAUCAUCACUUGGCUUACCUUGCGUGCCGCGGUGCAUCCCAUCCACCAGUUUAAAAACCAAGAUAUUGGUUUGGCUAUACACUCUCUAAGGUGUAUUGGCAUGGGACUUCUGAUGAAACAGGGCACGAGCCCUUGUGUCGCGAGCAGGUUAGGCGCUUCCGGGGCCGGGGAAGGGAUGUUAUUUUUGGGAGAGUAAUCACACGCCUCGAAGCUGAAAAUAACACACCUGCCGCAGUCAUUUAAUUAAUUAUUCCCCGACCUCACACGGACACCACACAUCCAUAAAUACAUCUAUGUACCAUAAAUCAUAUCCUUGGUAUGGCUUCGAUGCUGACCGCUGGAGGGGUGUCAGAUUUUCUGUCGCGAUGUUCUUCGACUGAUUCUAGGUACAAGCAAAUAUUCAUUCCCCUGGAAACGCGCUGGGGUCCUUUACUGUCGACCAUGAUUCACCAGAUACCCAGCUCUCCUUGAUUUCUGUCAGCUUCCAUAUAUAUCUUUGUUUCCUCCUCUCUGUUUCUUCCGUGAAUAGCUCACACAUCGGCUCCAUCAUAUCAAUUCCUUUUGCAUGUUUCAAGUGCAUACCACACGUACCACCAGUUUCCUAUCGCUGUCAUGGCGACCCGCCAUCAUGGGAUCCUGCAAUCCAUUCUUAUUUGGAUGCUCUUGUUCCUCCAAGCUAUAGCUUCAUUUAUAUCUCCUAUCGCCAGGGAGCCACUGCCAAUUGCGCGCAAACACGACAUCCGGGAUGCUGCACCGGGAAAACAGAUGAUUAUUCCCCCUCUUGUAGCAAAAGCUGCCCAAUCCGACAUCGAUGAAGCCAGGCGCCUUGUGGAUGCUGCAAUUAAGAAAGCUUCGGUCCUUAACAAAGCUCGACUGGACCACCCUAUGAGAAAUCGCUAUUCCUCAACGCGUGCUGCCAAAGCUUCUCGUCGCGAUGCAUCCAGCAGAGAUGCCCUGCUACCACCUCUACUCAAGAUUACCAAUGAGAUAGCUGCAGCUGCAGCUCUCCUGGCUGAGGUAGAGGCCGUUGCUGAAGCCAAAGAUCUUUCCAAACCUAAACGCGAUUACUCGUACAUCGAUGCGCUGUAUAACCGUACGGCAGAAAAGCAAGCACAACCCUUCUGGAUGGAAGAUAUUGAAAGAAAAGGGGCCUGGCCGUUUGGGAAUGACCCUUCCUUCAAGGUUUUCCGUAAUGUGAAAGAUUACGGGGCAGUUGGAGAUGGUGUACAUGAUGAUACGGAGGCCAUCAAGCGAGCAAUUGCAGACACGGGAACAUGUGGUGAAAGAUGUAAUGGCGCUACGGCUAAGAAUUUUAUCGUUUAUUUUCCAUCCG
RNAcentral lists this small RNA (1393 nucleotides) under Histoplasma capsulatum. Its description in RNAcentral is "hypothetical RNA". RNAcentral also lists the same sequence under 1 other name. The record is from RNAcentral. Lineage: Eukaryota; Fungi; Ascomycota; Eurotiomycetes; Onygenales; Ajellomycetaceae.